RNAcentral lists this long non-coding RNA (302 nucleotides) under Ganoderma lucidum. RNAcentral describes it as "long non-coding RNA (GLUC_LNC000020)". The record is from RNAcentral. Lineage: Eukaryota; Fungi; Basidiomycota; Agaricomycetes; Polyporales; Polyporaceae.
CGGAGACGAUAUAUAAACCAGAUAAGCGACGCCCAGGAACUUUAUCCCCCGCUCAGUUCUCUUCUUUUUUCUUCUUUGUCUCAUAGACUGGUACGUCCCCUCCUGCCUCUCAUCUCCUCGACGCCGAUGCUCACGAUUCCCUCGCAGGCCCUUGGCCAUAUAGAGAAUAGAGUGAUCUACCGUCCUUGACGACCUUUUCCUGCGUUUCGCCGCCCCCGCUUGCAGCAACCGUAGACCCUAGACAAAUCUAUACGUUUCACUCCUAAGGUGAAUACACCUUCUGUCUCUCGCAUCCCCUUCAA